Molecule: long non-coding RNA, 618 nt
Organism: Carassius gibelio (silver crucian carp)
Lineage: Eukaryota; Metazoa; Chordata; Actinopteri; Cypriniformes; Cyprinidae
Exons: 3
Source: RefSeq, a predicted model, not a curated record
UGGUGCUGUUGUUUUCUCUGGCCCUAGAUUGCUUGUUCUCAGACACACAUAAAGGAAGGCCAUUCUCUCCGGUCACUGUCCCGGUGAUGUUUAUUGUUUGUGACUCUUCAAUUCCACUGUUUCCCAGAAUUCUCAGCACAUUCUGCACAGUGUAUUACGCGCCGUGAACUACUUGGACAUCAGACGUGUGCUUUUAUUACGGAUUUCCAUGCUGAACGAAGGCCAGGAGGAAUGGCUCAGUGCAGAAACAAUACAUCAUCAGACUGACCUAGUUUGCAGGACCGCGGGUGCUUGCGAAGGAUAAUUAUCUUCUGUGAAUCGUUUCCAUCAGUGCAUCAGUCAAUCAAUCUUCACCAGCACCACACGCCAUCAGCAACUCUAUUUUGUUGUUUCUUCUAAUGGAAACGGCUCUCCAUGAGAGUUCUGAUGUGUUCGAGUGAUGAACGAGGACACAGUUUGGUGAGAGUAAGUGAAAAUCACACUCUCUUCCUCCACUCAGCGACUUUUAUGUAAAACAGCACAAUUAAACAAUGUCCUGAAAAUGAAUGUAUGCUGCAAACAUGAGGCUCAUUUGGCUGAUGAAUGGCCGCACUUUGGAUAAAAAGCGAUUUUAGUUGA